RNAcentral lists this ribosomal RNA (254 nucleotides) under uncultured bacterium. RNAcentral describes it as "partial 16S ribosomal RNA". It matches the Rfam family "Bacterial small subunit ribosomal RNA", at positions 524 to 776 of the family's 1533-position model. The record is from RNAcentral.
CACGUAGGGGCCAAGCGUUGUCCGGAUUUAUUGGGCGUAAAGAGCUCGUAGGCGGUUCGGUAAGUCGGGUGUGAAACCUCCAGGCUCAACCUGGAGACGCCACCCGAUACUGCUGUGACUGGAGUCCGGUAGGGGAGCGUGGAAUUCCUGGUGUAGCGGUGAAAUGCGCAGAUAUCAGGAGGAACACCAGCGGCGAAGGCGGCGCUCUGGGCCGGUACUGACGCUGAGGAGCGAAAGCGUGGGUAGCAAACAGG